RNAcentral lists this transfer RNA (71 nucleotides) under Marmota monax (woodchuck). RNAcentral's name for it is "tRNA.Trp". Lineage: Eukaryota; Metazoa; Chordata; Mammalia; Rodentia; Sciuridae. The record is from RNAcentral.
GGAGUUGUGGCUCAGCGGUGUAGUGCUUGCUUACCAUGUGCAAGGCCCUGAGUUCGAUCCUCAGCACUACA